Long non-coding RNA from Lolium rigidum, 582 nucleotides. RefSeq lists it as uncharacterized. The transcript is spliced from 4 exons. Lineage: Eukaryota; Viridiplantae; Streptophyta; Magnoliopsida; Poales; Poaceae. The record is from RefSeq and is a predicted model, not a curated record.
CCAUGCCUCCACCUUUUCUAGGUUGUGCCAUGGAGCUGCAGGGUAGAGGAAUGAGGCUGGCGAUGGGAGGGAAGAGCAGGCCGGCCCUGGUUCAUCAUGGAGAAUGCUUGAAAAUUAGGCGUGGCUGCUCUCUCUGCUUCGCCUCUUCUUCCAUGGACCAUGUAUCUGUGGUUGCCUACAGGGUGGCAAAAUCGAGGGCUGCAGCUAGAGCAUCAAAAGUGGAACUCGAUUGUCCACUAUCAAGGCUUUGGUAGCAUAAGAAGUUGAUUCAGUGGUAAAUGCAUCAGGAGUUCCUACUUCCAUCUUACCCUAGGCUUGAUAUAAAAGGGUCUUGCUGGAUAGUGAUCCUGCACCACACCUCAGUCAAUAAGUUCAGUUUUGUAGAAUUUACUAGCAUGUUUUCUAAUGGAUGACUGAAGCACAGCUUGCUCAGAAUGCUAUAUACGUCGCCAACCUGGGUUUGGGUGACUCGACGCUGCAGCAGGUGGAGCAGAAGUGGAUGCAGUCUUCAUGUUAAUCACUGGUUCUUCUCUCUAUUUCUUUUCUUUCUAUUCCUGUAAUUUAUUAUCAUGUGAUUGGUGA